CUACGGAGGAUCCGAGCGUUAUCCGGAUUUAUUGGGUUUAAAGGGUGCGCAGGCGGCCAUUUAAGUCAGCGGUUAAAUCGUGGGGCUCAACCCCAUUCUGCCGUUGAUACUGGGUGGCUUGAUUGCGGUCGAGGUUGGCGGAAUUCGUUGUGUAGCGGUGAAAUGCAUAGAUAUGACGAAGAACACCGAUUGCGUAGGCAGCUGACCAGACCGCAAAUGACGCUCAUGCACGAAAGUGCGGGGAUCGAACAGGAUUAGAUACCCUGGUAGUCCGCACAGUAAACGAUGAAUACUUGUUUUCGGCGAUAUAAUGUCGGAGGCAAAGCGAAAGCGAUAAGUAUUCCACCUGGGGAGUACGGUCGCAAGGCUGAAACUCAAAUGAAUUGGCGGGG
Molecule: ribosomal RNA, 392 nt
Filed under: uncultured bacterium
Lineage: Bacteria
Description: partial 16S ribosomal RNA
Rfam family: Bacterial small subunit ribosomal RNA
Source: RNAcentral